CAGGCGCACCGCCCGGAGCGGGCUCACCUCCUCGACGUCGUACCC
RNAcentral lists this unclassified non-coding RNA (45 nucleotides) under Sorangium cellulosum So ce56. Its description in RNAcentral is "sce_s2m_22". Lineage: Bacteria; Pseudomonadati; Myxococcota; Polyangiales; Polyangiaceae. The record is from RNAcentral.